This 450-nucleotide ribosomal RNA is filed under the name uncultured bacterium. RNAcentral's name for it is "bacterial SSU rRNA". It matches the Rfam family "Bacterial small subunit ribosomal RNA", at positions 354 to 796 of the family's 1533-position model. The record is from RNAcentral.
GUGGGGAAUUUUGGACAAUGGGCGCAAGCCUGAUCCAGCAAUGCCGCGUGUGUGAAGAAGGCCUUCGGGUUGUAAAGCACUUUUGUCCGGAAAGAAAUCUCUUGGGUUAAUACCUCGGGGGGAUGACGGUACCGGAAGAAUAAGCACCGGCUAACUACGUGCCAGCAGCCGCGGUAAUACGUAGGGUGCGAGCGUUAAUCGGAAUUACUGGGCGUAAAGCGUGCGCAGGCGGCUCUGCAAGACAGAUGUGAAAGCCCCGGGCUCAACCUGGGAACUGCAUUUGUGACUGCAAGGCUAGAGUGCGUCAGAGGGAGGUGGAAUUCCGCGUGUAGCAGUGAAAUGCGUAGAGAUGCGGAGGAACACCGAUGGCGAAGGCAGCCUCCUGGGAUGACACUGACGCUCAUGCACGAAAGCGUGGGGAGCAAACAGGAUUAGAUACCCGUGUAGUCC